GCGGGUGUAGCUCAGUCGGUAGAGCGACAGCUUCCCAAGCUGUAGGUCGCGAGUUCGAGACUCGUCGCCCGCUCCA
Molecule: transfer RNA, 76 nt
Filed under: Candidatus Melainabacteria bacterium
Lineage: Bacteria; Bacillati; Candidatus Melainabacteria
Also listed under: 3 other names
Description: tRNA-Gly
Rfam family: tRNA
About the family: Transfer RNA (tRNA) molecules are approximately 80 nucleotides in length. Their secondary structure includes four short double-helical elements and three loops (D, anti-codon, and T loops). Further hydrogen bonds mediate the characteristic L-shaped molecular structure. tRNAs have two regions of fundamental functional importance: the anti-codon, which is responsible for specific mRNA codon recognition, and the 3' end, to which the tRNAs corresponding amino acid is attached (by aminoacyl-tRNA synthetases). tRNAs cope with the degeneracy of the genetic code in two manners: having more than one tRNA (with a specific anti-codon) for a particular amino acid; and 'wobble' base-pairing, i.e. permitting non-standard base-pairing at the 3rd anti-codon position.
Source: RNAcentral